UACGUAGGGUGCGAGCGUUGUCCGGAAUUAUUGGGCGUAAAGAGCUCGUAGGCGGUGUGUCACGUCGGCCGUGAAAACCUGCAGCUUAACUGUGGGCGUGCGGUCGAUACGGGCAUCACUGGAGUUCGGCAGGGGAGACUGGAAUUCCUGGUGUAGCGGUGAAAUGCGCAGAUAUCAGGAGGAACACCGGUGGCGAAGGCGGCAUCCUGGACUACUACUGACGCUGAGUGAGCGAAAGCCAGGGGAGCAAACAGG
RNAcentral lists this ribosomal RNA (255 nucleotides) under uncultured bacterium. RNAcentral's name for it is "partial 16S ribosomal RNA". It matches the Rfam family "Bacterial small subunit ribosomal RNA", at positions 524 to 776 of the family's 1533-position model. The record is from RNAcentral.